Transfer RNA from Plasmodium yoelii yoelii 17XNL, 84 nucleotides. It matches the Rfam family "tRNA". From Rfam's summary of the family: Transfer RNA (tRNA) molecules are approximately 80 nucleotides in length. The record is from Rfam. Lineage: Eukaryota; Apicomplexa; Aconoidasida; Haemosporida; Plasmodiidae.
GCACGGGUGCCCGAGUGGUUAAGGGGGUGGACUUAAGAUCCUCUGGUCACUAGACCGCGUGGGUUCGAACCCCCACCUCGUGCA